Molecule: ribosomal RNA, 885 nt
Filed under: Antrodia sitchensis
Lineage: Eukaryota; Fungi; Basidiomycota; Agaricomycetes; Polyporales; Fomitopsidaceae
Also listed under: 2 other names
Description: eukaryotic LSU rRNA
Rfam family: Eukaryotic large subunit ribosomal RNA
Source: RNAcentral
UUGACCUCUGACCUCAAAUCAGGUAGGGUUACCCGCUGAACUUAAGCAUAUCAAUAAGCGGAGGAAAAGAAACUAACAAGGAUUCCCCUAGUAACUGCGAGUGAAGCGGGAAAAGCUCAAAUUUAAAAUCUGGCAGUCUUUGGCUGUCCGAGUUGUAGUCUGGAGAAGUGCUUUCCGUGCUGGACCGUGUACAAGUCUCUUGGAACAGAGCGUCAUAGAGGGUGAGAAUCCCGUCUUUGACACGGACUACCAGUGCUUUGUGAUGCGCUCUCAAAGAGUCGAGUUGUUUGGGAAUGCAGCUCAAAAUGGGUGGUGAAUUCCAUCUAAAGCUAAAUAUUGGCGAGAGACCGAUAGCGAACAAGUACCGUGAGGGAAAGAUGAAAAGCACUUUGGAAAGAGAGUUAAACAGUACGUGAAAUUGCUGAAAGGGAAACGCUUGAAGUCAGUCGCGUUGGCCAGGACUCAGCCUUGCUUUUUUGCUUGGUGCAUUUUCUGGUUGACGGGUCAGCAUCAGUUUUGAUUGUCGGAAAAAGGUUGGAGGAAUGUGGCACCUUCGGGUGUGUUAUAGCCUCUGGUCACAUACGACGGUUAGGACUGAGGAUAUCAGCACGCCUUUAUGGCCGGGGUUCGCCCACGUUCGUGCUUAGGAUGCUGGCAUAAUGGCUUUAAGCGACCCGUCUUGAAACACGGACCAAGGAGUCUAACAUACCUGCGAGUGUUUGGGUGGAAAACCCGAGCGCGUAAUGAAAGUGAAAGUUGAGAUCCCUGUUGUGGGGAGCAUCGACGCCCGGACCUGACGUUCUCUGAUGGAUCCGCGGUAGAGCAUGUAUGCUGGGACCCGAAAGAUGGUGAACUAUGCCUGAAUAGGGUGAAGCCAGAGGAAAC